UACGAAGGGUGCAAGCGUUGUUCGGAAUUACUGGGCGUAAAGCGUGCGUAGGCGGUUUGAUAAGUUGGGAGUGAAAUCCCGGAGCUCAACUCCGGAAUUGCUUUCAAAACUGUCAAGCUAGAAUAUGGUAGGGGACAGUGGAAUUCCUAGUGUAGAGGUGAAAUUCGUAGAUAUUAGGAGGAACACCGGUGGCGAAAGCGACUGUCUGGACCAUUAUUGACGCUGAGGCACGAAAGCGUGGGGAGCAAACAGG
This 253-nucleotide ribosomal RNA is filed under the name uncultured bacterium. Its description in RNAcentral is "partial 16S ribosomal RNA". It matches the Rfam family "Bacterial small subunit ribosomal RNA", at positions 524 to 776 of the family's 1533-position model. The record is from RNAcentral.